AACCAUAGAAACCUGCGGAGUACCUGCGGAAGGAUCAUUACAGAGUUGCAAAACUCCCCAAACCAUUGUGAACCUUACCUUCAAACGUUGCUUCGGCGGGCGGGCCACAGCGCCCCCCGGGCCCCCCCAGCGGGGGCGCCCGCCGGAGGAUACCCAAACUCUUGAUACUUUAUGGCCUCUCUGAGUCUUCUGUACUGAAUAAGUCAAAACUUUCAACAAUGGAUCUCAGAUCGGAAGAGC
Molecule: unclassified non-coding RNA, 240 nt
Filed under: soil metagenome
Description: partial contains 5.8S ribosomal RNA, internal transcribed spacer 2, and large subunit ribosomal RNA
Source: RNAcentral